RNAcentral lists this ribosomal RNA (129 nucleotides) under Kineococcus xinjiangensis. The record is from RNAcentral. Lineage: Bacteria; Bacillati; Actinomycetota; Actinomycetes; Kineosporiales; Kineosporiaceae.
UUCGGUGGUCAUAGCGGUGGGGAAACGCCCGGUCACAUUCCGAACCCGGAAGCUAAGCCCUCCAGCGCCGAUGGUACUGCCUCCGGGAGGGGGUGGGAGAGUAGGACACCGCCGGACUCAACGUGAAAG